GCACCUACGGGACGCAGCAGUGGGGAAUAUUGCACAAUGGGGGAAACCCUGAUGCAGCGACGCCGCGUGGGCGAGGAAGUACCUCGGUAUGUAAAGCCCUAUCAGCAGGGAAGAAACAGGACAGUACCUGACUAAGAAGCCCCGGCUAACUACGUGCCAGCAGCCGCGGUAAUACGUAGGGGGCAAGCGUUAUCCGGAUUCACUGGGCGUAAAGGGAGCGCAGGCGGCAUGGCAAGUCUGAAGUGAAAGCCCGGGGCUCAACCCCGGGACUGCUUUGGAAACUGUAUGGCUGGAGUGCUGGAGAG
This 305-nucleotide ribosomal RNA is filed under the name uncultured bacterium. Its description in RNAcentral is "bacterial SSU rRNA". It matches the Rfam family "Bacterial small subunit ribosomal RNA", at positions 333 to 656 of the family's 1533-position model. The record is from RNAcentral.